This is an RNA transcript of Neltuma alba, 1453 nucleotides long. It is a transcript of the gene named protein ENHANCED DOWNY MILDEW 2-like, with no coding region annotated. NCBI's taxonomy places the organism in Eukaryota, Viridiplantae, Streptophyta, Magnoliopsida, Fabales, Fabaceae. The record is from RefSeq and is a predicted model, not a curated record. The transcript is spliced from 5 exons.
UUCUAGGUCCUUUGGGCUAACAGAUUCUGGUGCAGUAGAAAUAGGCUCUCAAAGUCGCUGUUACAAAUCCUGCUGCUAUUGGCCACCAAAUCAACAGAGGAGACCGGUUCAAAUAGUUCUAGGUGAAUGACAGUGAAAAAUGGCUCAUGGGAAAGGGGGCAGCGGGACAUGGUGGCACCUCAGAUGUUGUGACCUUCUAUUCAAUGUUGUUGAUAGGCUUCAUUGGUAUGUACAAAGUGGUGAUACGGUAAGUUUUUAUUCUUUAUGCUUUAUUUGGGUUCUGCCAAUACACUACGUGCCACUAACUUUUUUUGUUUAGUCAAUACAUAAUUGGUACUAUUUUAAUGAAGCUGAUCGCAGUAAUCCAUGUAUGCGGUUUUGAUUUGUUACCAUAAGUUUGUAGUUUGAUCAUCCGAUAACUCAGCUCCAUUUUCAUGGUAAUAUUUAGUUUUCCCUGUCUUUGCUCUGUUGCCACUCCUGAUUUCUUUUCCGUCUCAGAGAAGUCGAAAUGCCUCAAGUCUUGUAGCAAUUGUAUCAUACACACGUUCUACUGAAGUGUUUAGACUCAAUAUUGUUCAGUUUGUUCAAGUCAUUAAUUAACUUCUGUGAAGAACUGUAAAUUCUUGUGGCUUAUUAGAAUAAAAACACGGGAUUAAAGUCUCAUAAUAUAACAAUUGCGAUGGUUUUCAAACACGGGGGCUUGUUCUUUGAUGUCAAUUUAUCAUUUUCUCUUACCAGAAUGAUCAAGUUUCAGUUAAUUUCAUUAUUGCUUUACCAUUUGCAUUAAUUUGUGCUCAUCUGUACAACGUGGUAUCCUUAGCAGAUUGUAGACUUUUGCUGUGGUUCUAAUGACUUCAGCUGUCUGAUGAUAUCGAAACUUGAGCAGAUGGGGAAAAUCUGCUCAUUUAAAAACUAUGAUAUCUUCCAGGCUAAGAAUGAUUUCUGUUUUGAGAAAAGAGAUUGGUUUAGCAUCAAUGUUAAGAAUUGCCCAACGGUUCUCAACUGACUGGAACCGGAAGCCUCCCCCACUAUACCUUUGGAGCCGCCCUGACUGGACGGCCCGGCACGCUAAAAUAGUUCUGAGGCAUGGCCACAUCAAGAGGCAAGAUGCAAUGCGUGUAACAGGAUAUCAUGUAAAGAACUACCUCAUGGAGGAUAAUCAUGACUGUUAUCAGCACUGCUCUGGCUUACAUGCACCUGAUGAUCUCUGCACCAUAUUGGAUGGUAUUCCGGAAGAUAAUGGCGAUGCUAUGCCUGAUUGUGCAAGAGACAAUGAUGAGCUUUUUCCUCCAAGAAAUUAAAUUGGCAUGAUGGGUUACCUUGUGAAGCCAAGGAAAUGAGCAUGGAUAUGAAAUUAUCAACUCCGUAGUUUGUGUCUGCACUAAUAUAUGCUCAAAAUGCUUUAUGGGUGUUAAAAACAAUGAUCUGAGAAUUUUAUGACUUGGUCGUGUAA